This 42093-nucleotide long non-coding RNA is filed under the name Selaginella moellendorffii. Its description in RNAcentral is "long non-coding RNA (SMOE_LNC001711)". Lineage: Eukaryota; Viridiplantae; Streptophyta; Lycopodiopsida; Selaginellales; Selaginellaceae. The record is from RNAcentral.
AGCGUUUUUGCGUUGUCCAAGGGCCCCUCUCUCGCAACAAGUUCCAAAACUUCCACUCGGGCCUUCUCUUGCCAUUCUGGAUUCACGGCCAGGAGCACCAUCACCCACGAGUCAGUUGCUGUCGAGCAUCGUACCGAGCAAGUCACUCCCGUGAGAGGCAGCAUAGUUCUCCCGCGUGAGAGCCCGCCGCGAAUCAAUCUCCACACGGAGCAAACGAAUGGGCGGACAUGACCUUUUCCAGAACCUUGGGCCUCCAAGUGGUCUACAGCAUUGGGACCAAAGGAUGAGGCAAGAACAGCAAGUAGCACAAGCCACAUUUCCAUUGCCAAAACGUUUUCUUUCCAAAGUGAUCCAAACCUCGCGAGACUUGACGUGUUGAAGUUUGAACUUCAAACUACAGUUGCAACACAGCACCGACUAAAGAAAAAGUACUAUCUUUGCUAGGUUAAAGUUUUAGUAUGAUUUUGUCUUGGAUGUUUUUGUUCCAGUGAAUGCGUGUGUCCCGUUUUACGUAUGUCUUUCCAAGAAGACAAUCAAGGCUCAGGACAAACACCUCUUGUGAAUCACAAGAAGAAGAUGUCCUCGUAUACCUCGUCCCAAAAGCCAAUUGCUUUGAUCCUCCGUUGCCGGAGCUUGGGAAUUUCUAGGUGCUGCUCCUCCCCAGUGCGCUUGUGCCCCGCCAGCCUCUCCUCCUCCUCGGGAUCCAGCCCGAGAGCGCCUCCACCGGACGGCCUGACGAGCGAGGGGCGGUAAACAACCGCCCUCCUGUAAUGCACCAUCUCACCGACACUGUACUGCCCCACCGCCUCGCUCUUGCCACGGAUGUGAAACCACUCGCCGCGAUCCAGGUCGUACACCGCGGGUGGCAAAGGCUCGCCACCGCAAUCACCAAGCUUGUGGCCGUCAUCGUAGCGAUCGCGGCACUGUCCGGCAAGGCACAGGAGAUUGCCUUCGGCCUGGCACUCCAACGUCAAAAAAUCGUCCCAGUAGACAUCCGUAAUGUCCAAGAAGGAACUUGCAACCUCACGGCAGUGGCCACUGCUCCAAGCUUUCUCAACGUCCAAAACGCAAGAAGCCUCUCUCUUACCCGCCAUAUCCAUCGGCUCCUCCAUGCUCCACACUCUGCACUGAGGAUCACCCUCCUUGAUCCGAAAGGCACCAGCCACAUAGCGCUCGCCCUUGUGCUCCCAUACGAAAGGGACACAAACCAGGGUCGGGUCGUUUAGGAGGGGCUCCUUGUGUGGCACGAUGAUGCAUCUAGCAGUGUCGAACAAGAAUCCUUCAGGGUAGUCCGCAACCCGUGUCCAAGCCCGCGAGCUUGAGUCGUAAAAAUGGUAGUUGAAGGCGUCUACAACCUUGAACUCUCCGGUAGCUGGGUCCGCGGUCAUGCUGUAGACGCGACCGGAGUGCACCUGAGGCGCAAGGCGUGGGAUCCUGACCCACUCGUUGGUUGCGGGAUUUCCCACCACCAACUCCACCCCGGGAGAGGCAUCGUCGGCCCAGCAGGGCAGCCUGCGAGGACGAGGCCAUUGAGGAGGCGACGAUGUCGAAGGAGCCGGGUGGGAGAGUAUCUUUCAUCCAUGGCGGGAGUGCAGAGACGGUGCGCGACUUGGGACUCCAUACACAGAUUUGCUGUGGUCGGGGGAGACGAUCCCAGUUGCCGUUGUAGGCGGUGAGGAGGACAUACUCCUCGUCGUCGUCGCGUUGCUGCUGCCUCCACGCUGUCCUAAACUCGGGAGAUCUGAUCAUGGAUCUCCAUUCCUUGCAGACGCGGCGCGCUUGCAUCAACGAGUUCCAGCCCAGUGACAGCAAGAUGCGUGCCAGUAGCUCAUACCCUAGAACCUCCGCGAUCAUUGUUACCAAUACAACAGGCCUCACCGUCCUACCUACAAUCUUGGCGGUCAUUCACAAUCCACGCCAGCCCUAAUUAUGUUUCGGUCUCUAAAUUCUAGGCGUUGUCCACGUCAGCCCUAAAUUCUAGCGUUGACGCUCGCUCCGCUUUGUAAGCGAGAGAUCCGGAGUUCGAUCAGCGCAAUAGGAGACCUUAACAAGAAAAGUGACCGGUAUAGAAAACCGGACUAUACUUUCGUUUUUCACGUAAAGUAAUCGAAAACAAGAAUGAAUUUACACUGUCUCGACACAGCGUUUGAUUUUCUACACCAUAAAAGAGUCGAGAACGUUUGGCCUUUGCUCUUCCAGCUCCGACAGGAGCUCUGUGACCACCGCUCUCGUCCCUGGCAUGCCAUAAAGUUCGGGAUUCCGGCUGGUCGAAAUUCGCAAGCUUUAAUCAUUGCCUCCACGGGACUGAGCAUUCUUAGAUCGUGUCCAGGUUGAGCCGUCAGGUGCCGGUUCCUCGGCCGAGAGCUUCUUCACCGUGAGAGGAGAAGCUCGCUGCUGCUGUAAAAGCCGUAGACUCUCAAAGAUCUGAAGCGUGACCACGCCAGGGUCGUGGUUGCCGUCCACUGCUGAUAUUGCCUCACGUAAAACGUUCGUGUCGAGAAGGACCACGGGAGAGGGGCUGACCAGCACCAUUAUCUGCACCGAGAAGAGAAGCAUGGCAGCGACGCUGUCUCGCACAAAUACCCGCGACCAUAAGGUGUUACUGGGAAUACUAUGAAAAGAGUUUCAAGUACCUGGGGGCGCUGGGAAAACCCGACAGGAGUAUCCAGGAAGAUUAUCGGCUGCACCAGAGCGAUUCCUUGCCAUGGUUUCAUCCGAGUACCAGUUUUUCCUUUCUUGCCUGUGAACAAAGAGGGAAAACUUGUAGUGGUGAAAGAGGACCAUAGCACUUUUCUGAAGGAUAAUAGAUCACCCAGCCGCUGUGGCAGCGCUAAUUGUGUGGUAGCGGUGCUUGGAGACAAGUCGCACAGGAACCACGGCUAGGAACUCCUCACCCGUGAAUCUGGAGGCUAGUAACAUAAGUGGAACCACAAAGAUAAACUACGGAUGUACCUCGUUUCUGGCUUUGAGGAUGCCUCAGAUGCUCCUCCUCCAUCUAAGACAAGUAAGAAUCGCUUAUAACCUGCAUGAAAUCAUGCCACAUAGACCAGAAUCCACAAAAGUUGUCUUUAUUCAUUGUAGCAAGCAACACAAGAUGAUUACUCCUGUAGAGUUUUGGAAUCAAGGGGAAACCACAUGGGAAAACUUAAUAAAAGAAUUAAACACUAGAAUAAGAGGAUAACAAGAGGAGAAAAGAAAGUGAAAAGGAAAUAAAGAAAAUAGAAGAAAAAAAUUAAAAACAAAAAGACAAAAUGGAAACAUAAAACUGAGUAGUAGAACCAUUUACUUGGACUCUAACUUAAAGCUUUUGCACCUUUGGAAAGUGUUUUAGACGUAGCUCAACUACUCUUAAAGUUCCAAAGAAUGAAGUGAUGGAAAUGAAUGUGUUGCCCGAGGGUGGUAAUUGUGAGAAUGAUGGAAGACAGCAGCCUUAUAAAUGAAUGGUGGAAAAUAAUGGUGACUGAGUUAAAACAUCCACCCAUAGUAAUGCCUGGUCUCCUUUGUGCAUCAGGUUUAACUAGCUCUUAAAAAUCAGCUGCUGGAUGUCCUAAAGUUUCUCGUAAUCUUUGCAUUGAGAUAGUCCACAUCAUAUUUUGAGUUUGACAAGUUAGGUUUUGUUGAUGCUUGGUGCAUCUGCUGCAUAUGGUAAUGAUAAAUAGAGUGAUGUAAUGGGAUCUAUAAGACUAUAUGUACAUGGUGAGAAAAGUGAAGAAAUGUGAACUAGGCAACUGUAGUGAGUGGUAAACAAUGGUGUAGUGAGUAACAAAAUGAAUGGAUUGUGACUGUGAGUGAUAAAGAGUGAUGAUGAUGAUAGAUGAGAUGAAACCAUUUAAAGAAAACUCAGGAACCGUAAGUAACAAGCUGUGAGAUGGAUGAGCUCCCAAAUGAAAGGAGUUGAUGCAGCCUCAAAGUGAAAGUCCAAGCUAGUGCUUGCUCCAUCCUAAGAAUCACCCUAAACAUGACAAAGAAGAGAUCAAAGUGGAAGAAAAGAAAAAGAAAUAAAAGAAAUAGGAAGAAAAAGAAAGUGAAACAAGCUCACUUCCGAAAGAUCUUGAGGUGGUAGUGGUUGUGAGUGUGUGGCAACUCCUGCCCUGCCUCGUUUGUGAGGAUGUAAGCACCACCUCCUAUGUGCUUCUUGAUAAAGAAGGGCGCUGGAAAGGGCUUGCCUUGCCGGAACUAGUCUUGUUGGCCCUUAUACCCUGCGCUUUGUGGCUAAAAGGUUUGCCAUUGCAUAUUGCUACUUAUCAAGUUGGAGAAGAUCCCAUAUUCAAGCUUGUAGCUGCUCCUCGCUAAUUGAAACUGUGCUGCAUGUCGCAAGGUAAAUUGAAGAGAAGGGACCUAAAGCUUGAUUGGAAGAACAGCCUCAACUUCAUAAAUCAGAGAAAAUGGUGUGGUAGCUAAAAAGUUUUUUACUUAAAGGCACUAUUAUCCUCUCUUUUAUUUUGUACCACUUUAAACAUUAAAUUCCAUUUAUCCAUAAUUUGUGCUAGAGCUAUUCAUGGCUUUAUCAUUUGGCUAUCUUGCCGCUCCUUCCCUUGGAAUUUUCACUUUUACCAACUUAGAGUAUUUGGGAAUUCCAUCUUUGGAAAUUUAUUUCCUUUCCAACAAUUUAUUAGCAUCCACCAUAUGGUGGUUCCUCCCCUAAUUUAUCAUUUUGAUUUAUUUCAAUAGUUUCUAAUAUUUAUUCCCAACCACUAAUCCUUUGCUCUUAUCGUUUGAUUGUUGCACCAAAUAAUAUAGGACCACUAUUUUCAUUUUUGAGGUAUUCUUUUAGUUUCAUAGUAAAAAAGGGCAUUCACCUGUAAUAAGUCUCUUUAGCAUUUUUUGUUAUGGGCUCUAUCUAUAACCUAACUUUGUAACCCUCUUAUAAGUCCUUAGAGAUUACUUUCUUAGAUUCAUAAUGCCAUUGCUUUGCUAUAGUUUAUUUCCUUUAGGUUCUUUUUUAUUUGGUCACCUUGACCAAGUCAUACUAUACCAUUUGUUCAAAUCACUACUUUAAACUAAAAACACCAUUUCUUAACCCACCAAGAGCUUGUCCUUGAUAUCAGCUAUGGAAUCACUUAGUGAUCCCACAUAGACAAUUUAAUAAAUUUAUUAAUAGCACUGAAUUUAUUUGAUCUCUAAGUUAUUUACCACAACCCCGAGGGCAUCCCCCACACUUGGUAGUGUGCCCAAGCUAUCCCUUUUAGCCAAGGGUUCAUAGCAACCAAGAUUGGGUGUCCUUAUCUUAUUCACCAUAUCUUUAGUGCCACUUGCAUUAGAGUGUUCAAAUUAGAUAUGCUAAGCUUUCACAUUAAGCACUCUAAUUGUGCACCAUGACUUUAGGGCAUCUUCUGCUUGGCGGUGUGCCCAAGACAACCUCCUUACGGAGAGUCCAUGAUCACCAAAAAAUGAGUGUCUUCAUAUUCCAAACCAUUACCACGCCCUAGUAGGUUGGGACUUGAACCCAAACACUAAAGGGUUGGGACUCAAACCCAGCUUUCAUAUAAGCAUUUACAAAUGGCAUCACCCAAAAUGCCUAACAUAACUCUCCACGCUGAUGCACCAACUUAUAUUUAAUGCACACUUAGUUUCUUCGAGCUUCCAAGUCUUCUCACUCGACAAGUUAAUUGAUUAGUUUGUGAUCAUGCAUGGACUCCUCCAUAUUUGGCCCCAUAAAUGACCCCUUUUGAAGUUAACACUUCAACUAGGUAUUUGUUCCUCCAAGUGGCUAAUUUUUUUUUGGCAAGUCAUCAAAGCAGCGUAAUGUGGUUCUUUGCAUAAACAUAAAAGUCUUCAAACAUUAACUUUUGUUCAAAGUUAUCUUUUUGAACACUCAAGAACUAUUUCCCCAAUUUAAUAGUCUCGCCUCAUGGCAAGCUUCAAGACCAUGCUUCUACUGCAUCACUUUGAUUUUGUGCAUUUCUAUGAACCAUUUACAUUUAUCUUUCUAAGUACUAACCUACCCAAAAUUGUCUUUAGGAACAUUAAAGGGACUUUGUCCCUUAGUUUGCUAAGGUUUUCCCUUUCAGUUUCUUAAUUGCCAUAUGGUUUAAUAUCAGCAAUUCCAUACUUUAGACUUACCAUAGGACCACAAUUUCUAAUAGUAACACUUUUGAUCAUCCACUUGAUUUUUCAUUCCUAAUUUGUAUAGCCAUCUUUAGUUAUAAAGCUCUAUUUCGUUAAAGUGGGAAUUGUCAUUAUCCCACUUGUAAAAUAAGGUUUCCAAACCUUUAUAUAGUAUAUAAAUAUAACAAAAUUCAACUGCAUUGAGGCACAUGCCAUUUUAUUUUAAACAAGCAAAUGUCUACUCAAUCACUUCUCCUCCCCCUGCCACUGCUUCACCUCUCUCUUCUCCUUGUCAUCGUUGUCCAAUUUCUUUCCAUCAUUUUAAUAUUGGCUCAGUUGCUCCGAGUCUAGGUGGAGCCCAAGUCCCCAUUCAAUCUUUACUUUCCCCUUAUUAAUAAAACAACUUCGUAGGCUUCCAAUAACAUGCUGUAACACUUCUAGUAUAAUGCAAAUCCUCUCAAAGAAUUGUCUUUUAAUAUUAAUACAAUGGCAUGGAACCCCAUGCCAUAAUAAGUUACAUUUUUAAAUAAAUACAUGCCAUCUCAGAUUGUUAUUUUUUGCCUCCAACGCCUAUACAAUAAUCUUGGAAUUUCAUCACUCUCCACACUAUCAGGAUUUAAACCCAAUAGUAAUGCCAUCUCUUCUCUAAUACGUCCACGCUCAUGUUCAGUGGUCGAAGAACCCAUCUGGUUGAGCAGAUUAUGGAGAUGCGGAUAGUGCUUGGCUAGACAAUAUACAUGCCAUAAAUGAUGACUGGUGUCUGUCCGAUCAAAUGGCUUCUGAUAUACCGUUCCAUCUGCCAUUUGGUUGAUUUCUGCAGCCACCUCCUGGACUGGCCGGUUCUCUAUCACCAUCGCUCCAAGCCGUUUUGCAAGGUCUCCCAGAACAUAUGGUUUCUUCUCCCUAGUUUCCAUACUGCAAGAGAUGGGGUGCACUGCAUAUGUGUGCGUGUUUGUUGCAGUUUUAAUCGGCGAGUCAUCGAUGAUGAAGAUUUCACUUGACCUAGCAGUCCGGUUCAUCACUACAGCCUCUGGCUUGACGAAGAUGGGCUUGCUACCCCUCACAUGGACCAUAGUCAAGCAAUCCUCCUGCGUUAGGAGAAAGUCAAAUGGUAAUAUUACUCGCGUCUGAUUGUGCAUCAUCUGUAGCAACAUUAAUGCAUUGUGGCGCAUCAUGGAUGUCCAAACUCCCAAUUGCAAAUUGAACCCGACCCUCUAUUUUAAGUGUCGCAUGGUCAUUAUUAGAUCCCGCAGUUUCUCCCGUGUGAUUAAUGUGAAUUUGUCUCUUUUGACCAAUUUGCGACCGCAGGCUUUGGAGGGUGCAGUGACAUUCGAGGACGAGCCACGCUCAUGGGAGAAAAGGACACCGUUCAGAUCAAAAAUGAUACAGUACCUUCGCCAUGACUCUGAAAUGAAAUGCGUCAGCAUAAAAAAUGGUACAAGUCAAUUUUACCAUCUACAAUAUUAGCGAAUGGUGCUCCCGAUGGUCGUUGAGAGGGUUUUGGUCGAGGAAACGUGAAGGGCGGAAAUACUCUCCUCUGCAAUGUGGGGUCAAUCGCAUUCGAUGGCGUGUGGGCACAUGCCAUUUUAGCUGUAGACUCUGGUACAACUGGCUCAACAGUGGCAUGGGGUGGUUCCGAUGGCGUGUGAUCACACGCCAUUUCAGCUGGUGCCUUCGUUGGCAAAGUGGACAUGACCGAACAGGCAGCAGGGGUGGUGUAGGGAGGUUCUAAUGGCGCGUAGUCAAACGAUUGGGCACACGUUGAGUCCGUUGGAAAUGAGGAUACGACCGGCUCGGCAGCUGGGGCGGCCUCAUGCGGGUCCAAUGGCGCCUGGUCACUGUCAGUUGGAUACGUGGACAAGAUUGACUCAGUGGUAUGGGCAGCAUCAAGUGGAGCGUGGUCAGCUUGCUUGGCGUUGAUAUGGAUAGUAGCCUCCACCAGCUCUGAUGACUCUUGCAGGCAAGUAGAGUCGGACGUCGGCUUGGAGCAGGAGAGUCAAACAUCGGCUUGAGCUUGACCACCCUUUUCUGCUUCGGGGUAGUUUCCAGAUCGACCCCCUUCCCCUUCACUUCGCGAACUGGAGUCACUCUCAACGGCUCAAUGUUGGAAUAUAGUUUUUGAACAUCGCCGUAGGUGAGGUCCGUGGAUUCCAUGGGAUCUUCAUAGACCCGCAGCGUCUUUGAAAUUGUGGGCCUCCUAGACAACCUCUCCCUAUCUCCCUCUAGGAAUUCCUCAUAGCCGCUGCCCCCCUUCGGGAAGCCGCUAGGAUGUGCAAGGUGGAUCUUGAAGACGGACGCUGUCUCUACCACAAGUGCUAGUCCAUAUUCUUGCAUGGAACUGCAUGGAGUGUCUGUCACUUGGAUGAGGAUCCCCAUGCAUUCUUUUCUCCCACCAUUUGUGUUGUACAGCCUCAGAUCCUUGCCUUCCAUCCCGAAAGUCCAACUGGUGAGCUCCUCCCCCUUCUCUGCAUCCACAUUGACAGUGGCUGGAAGAAGAACGCAAUUCCUCGCCUGUUCAGAAAUGCACAACAAUUAGAGUUGACAGAUGAAAAGCUAGCAGCUGGAAAUAACGUGAAGCCACAUGCCAUUCACCACUGCAUCAGAUGUCUUGAGGUUGCAUCCUAAGAUGGCGUGAGGCUACACGCCAUCUGUAACCAGACUGCACUCGAGAGCCCAAUCGGUGCAUGCCAAUGUUGCUACUGAAUGGCAUGUGGCCUCAUGCCAUUUUCUACUUGGCCUAAAAGACUUACCAUUUGAAGCCGAAUGGAGGCGUGACAAUCGAGGCCAGACUCGCUGGCGAAUGUGCACUGUGUGUGCAGCGGAUCGUAGCAGCAAGGCUACUCUGCCACUUACAGUUGGAGAGUGGCGCUGAAAUCUCCUGGGACGCCAAGUGGGCUGCGUGUGGGUGGCGGAGUGGGCGGCGGAGUUGGCGGCGAAGUUACAAACUGGGUGUGUCUUGAAGUGGACGCCGAUGCACACGAGCGCGAUGUGGACAAACGAAAGCUAGCUAUAAACAUGACGGGAUGCAAAUAGAUUACUAGGCUGGUCCUGCGAAAAUAAAAAACCAUAAUUGAAAACAUUGAAAAUGCAAAAAGAAAGGUUUAUAAUAUUUUUGAAUUUUAAGCAACCAAAGGAAUGUAAGUAGGGCAUGUGUUUGUAAGUUUAAAAAUGCCUCAACCACUUAAAUUCCCAAGUAAAUAAAGCUGUAUUUAUUUUUGGUACAGGUAAACUUUAUAGCGUGUGGGUUCAUGCAAUUUUAAAACCAAAAAUGCACCAAAAAAUGCUCGACUAGCAUUAUUCUUUGAAUGGCGUGUGGCCUUAUGUCGAGCAUUAUUCUUUGAAUGGCGUGUGGCCUUAUAUUGCCAUAAAUGGACGUACACACACAGCAUAAUUAUUCCUUUACACGGCGAAUAAUCUUGGCGCGGAUCGCUGACAUGGCAUGGCAAAGUUCGAAUCACUGACAUGGCACAGCUAAAUCGAGGCAAGGACAUGAUGUGACAAAGUUCAACGUCCGACAGCAAAGUCUAGAAGCUACUCAGUUUGAAAUUUGUCAAAGGAAUCAUAAGAUCUGGUUUGUCAGAGGAUUUGAUGUGACAUUCAAGCGUGUGUUAUUUUUGAAUUCUCGAACUCAUUCCUAAGUCUAUCAUUUUUGUGCGCCGUGUUCUUGGUUCCGCUGAGCGCAGUGAGCGCUGCUUGUUUAAGCAGCGUUGUGAGCUAUGGUUUAUGCGUCUACGAGCGGUUGCGGCAUUGCGAGCGCCAUUGCGAGCGGCAGUUUAUGCAAGUGGCAGUUUGUGCGAGCGGCGCUACGAGCAGUUGCGGUGGUGCGAGCGGCGCUACGGUACCACUAAUGGUAUGAGGCCUCAUGCCAUUAGUGGUACCACUAAUGGCAUGAGGGCUAAUGCCCAUUUUGUGAAUGCGAAAUUUCACGUGGGUGUCAAUAGCAUGUUUGAAUAAUGGCAUGUGGCCUCAUGCUAUUGAGGUUGUUUGGUAUGUUAUGAUUUAGGCCAUUCUCUAAUCAUUUUUUGUAUGGUCUUAACUUCUUUUCUGCACUUUCAGAAUGGCCUCCGCAAGUGCGACGCAUGUUCCCUCCGUGGAUCUUAAGAACCGUGCUACAUGGAUUCAGGCAAAGGUGUUUCUAAACAAACCCGAGGGGGAGGUGGUAGCUGAGGGCUUAGCCACAGUUGUCGAUCCAAGAGAUGCGGUUGCUAAUCAAGAAUUAGGCUGGGAUGAUAUUGGAGUUGCGAUUUUAGAAGUUGUUGACAUAGAAGAAAACAGUCUGACUAUUGGAAACAUUGUGCGGUGGAAAUUGAGGCACUUAGUGUUUGAGAAUGUGAAGGAUUCACAAUCAAACACCACUACAACUGAUGACAGAACAUCUCUUCAUGGGAAAAGAAAGUACACCUUCCUAAAGCACAGCCAAAGGGAUCUGAGCAACGAACCGAAAAGGCAGAAAAUGGCGAUGGAGGUUCGAAUGGUCUCGACAGUUGCUUGUUGCAAGAGGAGGUGCUGUCAACAUGCUGAUUGGGAUGCUAUUGAAGAGGAGAGAGCAAGAUACAAGACAUUGUCCUGGAAGGCAGCUCGCAAUUUUGUGUAUGAGGCAUUACGGUCAUCUGUUGAUGCUUCAGAACAUCAGGUGGGGGGCAUGGUCUUCCAGAGGGGUUUGGUCUGCAUGAAGGCAUGGAGAAUCAUUUAUGGAUUCCCUCGAACCACAUUCUACAGAAUCAAAACUGAGUUCGAGGAACAAAGGGUUCAACAGGCAGUCCAUGGGAACGACGGUACUCACAAAACCAGGGGUCAUGUUGUAUAUGGAGAGGCAAUCUUCAAGAGGUUUGUCGAGACAUGUAGUGAGCAGCAACCACAUAAAACCCGCCUUUUGGAAGAUGGAACUCGAGACACCCAACGAGUUCUCCCUUCCAUGUAUACCAAGGGGGCCAUAUUGUGUGUGUGCGCAUGCCAUCGCUCUUCUUUAGCUUCAGAUUCAGCUUGUUCACCUUGACAAUGAGAUUUAUUAUACAACCAGAUGGACUCAGUCUAGACACAAAGUCACCGCGCUAGUCACCAUGCCCCAGAUAUGUCUAGCCCCUGGACAAAAAACAUAUAAUUUCACGUCAUUUUCAAAUACUUGAAAAUUUGUACCUAGUCCCAUUUUACUGAAUAAAUCCCACUUUAACGAAAUAGAGCUUUAUACUCUUUGAUUCUUAUGAUUCAGUUUUAUCCUUUUAUUUUUAUUUUUUAUUUUUACACGUUCCUUUCGGUAUUCUCAUUCAGACUAGAAGGGUAACUUUACACUUUCUAUCAUGCCUUAGUAAAUAUUUUUAGGGAUGAACUUAUUCAAUGGCUUAGGGAGUGGUUCCUCAAUUUAUAUAUAUUUAUUUUGUAAUUCUAUACAUCAAAAUUAACAUCACUAUUCAUGGGUCCUUAUAUACCCAUUGUUAACUGUACCAAUAUCUUUUUGUUUUUAUCUACUUUGGAUAGUUAGACUUACUCUAUUUUUAGCUUUUGCACCCUUGGAUAUUAGAUAGCACCUUUUAUGCAUUUUUCUUUAAAAACUUAGUCACUGGUGCUUUAUUUAAUGCCUUUAUGAUCCCAAACACCACUUCUUGGGUGUUUUAGAGUGAUUAGGGGUCUUAAUAAUGGACUUCUUUAACAAUGAGCAUUUAUUUUUAUGACAUUGACUUAGUAUAUUACAAUAUAAGCAAUUUAUCCUUUAUGGGAUAUAUUAAACUUCCUUCUUAUCAAAACAAAAAGUCUUGGGAAGUCAACUUUCACCAAUGUAAUUAAUGAUACCAUGCCUUUUGCUUAGUUGACUCAUAGUCAUCAAGUCCUAUAACUCAUUAUUGAUAUUUCCACACCUCCAUUAUUAUUUGGGUCAACGCACUUGAAUUGCAAUCUUUCCAACUUAAGUUAUGCCAAUCCUGUUCCCAUGGGAUUCCUUUAGCAAAGGGUUUUUAUGAACCAAACAUAUCUCUUGAAACAUUUGGCAUCUUCACACUAUUGGCUCUAUAUAUUUACCCUCACAACACUUCCUACUCGUGUCUAAGUCUUGCCAAGAUCAUAGUAAUCAUUUUUUAUGCCAACUAUCAAUUAGCAUUACACCACAAUGUUCACAUAUAACUUUUCACCAAAGUUGCUUUCUUCUAUGAACACCUUUUCCACAACUAUAGUAGGGCAUAUUCUGCCAUGAAUAAGAUACCCAUUGUUUUUAUAUUUGGAUCUUAUAAUCCUCUUAAUCCUUUGUAAGGUACAACACAUCUCAAUCCAAACAUAUUUCUACUAAUCCUUUGAAACCAUUCCUUAACUCCAUUGAGUCAUUUAGAUUUUGGACUUUAUUAAUCUGACGACUCGUAAGGUUCUAGCCUCAUGACUAUUUUUAAAGUGCCAUCUUACUAGAAUACAACUUUUUGUAUUCAUGUCCUACUCAUAAAGACCAUCUUUGCAAGUGUUACUUCGACACUUAAUUAUUCUUUGUACCAUAUAAGUUAUUUUUGCCCCUUGCAACUAUAUUUCUAUAUGAUGAGAAUAUCAUCUUAUCCUCUAAGUACACCCCUAACUCCUUGCAUUGUUCCAAUAUUUCUUAGAGGUAGCUUUAGAUACCCUUUCAAGGAUAUAUAUCCUUGUCUAUAUUUGACCUCCUACGGUCUAACUCUAGUCUUUAAUUCCUGAGCACCAUCCUCAACUAUAUAAGGGUAAUCUUAUAACUUUUUUAUCAUCUAGGAGUUUCUAUCAUUUCUAUAAUCCUAAUUGUAGUUGUUUAUCACAACCAUAUUUUUAAAGUCAAAUGUUUAUAUGAAUUACAUCCUCAACUCUCUAAGAAAAACUUUUUAAUGUUCUUAAGGUCCCAAAGUCGUUCCCUUAUGAGCCCCUUUCUAUCCACCACAUUUAGCAUAUCACAUGGGGACGUUCAAUGUAGUAGAGCCUUUUGUUAACAUAUGAUAGACUAAGGGAUCUAUUGAGAGUUGCUUGGGUAGAGAACAAAUUUUUAUGGAGGUCUUAUGAAAAAAGAAAUAUUGCUAAUCUUUUGUAUAACAAGGUUACUAUUGUGCAAUCGUAAGAAGUCCCUUUACUCCUCAAGAUCUACAUAUAUAAGAUUGUAUCACUUGACACUUGUUGACAUGUUCUAAUACCUCACAGCAAGAUUACACUCAUUUAUCCAAAGUGUUUCAAAGUAAAAGAGAUGCAAAGGGUAUGCAAGCUGUGAUGCGCCUUCAAGAGAAUGACUUGGCCACUGACUUCGAAGGUUUUACCUUGGAAUACAAUGAGAAAUAUGUUUUGAUAAGCAACUUUGCUUCAUCUAUCUUUGUGAUUGUUUUCACAUUGAUUUUGUAGGCCUAGGAUAAGGAGCUUGGUGAGGAGGUUAAAAGCUCGAUUGUGGAUUAAAUAACAUAUUCUAAUUGUAGUUUUGAGUUGUUUCUAAAAGCGAUUCCAAAGAUGAAGUGCAUAUUUAGAAUGAUGAGAUCAACUUUAACUCAUACAAAGGUACUAAGCACUAUAUGUUCUAUGUUUUUCCAACUCGUAAUAUGUUUCUUAUCUAUUUAUAAUUGUGCAAAGAGCAAGGUUGCCUCCUUUGGAUGAAUUAGUGUUGACUACAUGUAUGCAAGGUGACCUCCUUGAGCUUCAGAAAUGGCCGGACUUGAAACGCAAAUAGUAUUAAAUGACAAAUACUUAGUUGGAGAUUCUUUAUAUAAAGGAUGAAAUACAUGGAUUGUCAUUAAAGUGGAGAGUCAUGCCUUCUCAAUAUGCUACUCCUUGAAGAUAGGCCCACUUCUAAGACUUCCUGAUGUUAAUACAAGUGGUGAUAAGAGUUAGACUAAGAAAUAACUCUAAUACCAAGUUAUAAGUGACUAAAUUUUUCAUUCUACUUUAGUCACUUAACAACACCUUUGACCACUUGGAAGAGUUUCACUCACGACCUUUAUAAGUCGUAUUUCUAACUUAGGGAUGUGCUAACUCCGUGAAUAGCAUUUGUGCCACUCAGCCUUUGCAUUUAUUCCAAGUGCUCCACAUGUCCAAUCUCACAAAGACACCCAAAGGUACUAUUAACAUGUCAACCCAUUAUGCUAAGGCCAUGUCUAUUCACUUUUGUCACAUCAAUAGUCCAAAACCAUAUAUAUCAUAGUCUCAUCUCCCAAAUAUUAAGCCAUCUAUCCAUAAGUGGUCAUCCCUUAUCCCUUGACCACACCUUAGCACCCUUAGGAUGCCUAGAAAUAUGGGGAACGCCCUUCCCUAAUAUCCCUUCUUCAGUCCUCACUAAGCCCUACUCUGUCCAUAGCAAUGCUUGCCAUUGAGUCAGGGCCUGAAGGCCUGAACACGAAGUCUCAUUGACCUCUAAGACUUCCUCACCACGUGACCAUGCCCUUAGUGUAGCGCACGUGGUUUUUACCCUUUAUCCUAUGGUGAUUUACCAUAGAAUAACACUACAAAGCGGAACCUAAACCCUCUUUCUGCCAUGUGUCAUAUGCCAUGUGUCCAAAGGACAGUGGUGCGGAACCCGAGGUUCAAGGCCUUAAGCCACUAAACAAAUGAACGGUGCCAAACUCCCAAGCAUGGAGCCAAGGAUGAUGGAACCGGACCAUGGAGCAACUCCUAAGCAUACAGCCCAAGGAGUGAAGGGACAGGAGCCCGGAGAGACUUGGAAUAGUCCUAGAGAAACCAGCAUCCCAUUGCCAAGACCAACACGCAAAACGGAGCCAAACGGAGUCUGGUGCUAUUUCGGCAUACCGGUGGCCUAACGCAAGGACAUGGGUACUCCACUAGCUAGCAUGGAAUGGAACUUAGGCUUAAACCCAAGCCAGACGCAAAAUAAAGACAGGCACGCAAGCAGGAGCUAGACUAUGCCUCAAGUUGGUCGGCCAUACCCGACCUACCCACUAUCCUUACUAUACAUUUGGAACCCCCCACAGCCGCCCCCCCCCCCCCCCCCUUGAGAAACACACGCUUUGGGCUUUCACCCCAAGCCUCCCUUAGUAUCAGGAGUUAGUCUUUGGGACAAGUUCAAAACUUAUUAAAUAUGGAAUGUCCCUAGAUUGUGAAUUUGGACACGGGACGAACACCAUUGUGUUCAGGACGAUCUCUACAUUCCGUAAAUAUGCCAAAUGAGCAAAUCUGGACACUUUCCAUAAAUAGCAUUUGAGACCGAAAUGAGACCAACACAAAGGGCAUGAUAGCAAGGGUGUUUGGCCGACACGGUAAGCUAUCAUUCAGCGAUAUUGAGGGACUAGUCUCAAUACGCGAGGGUUCUUGUCAAGCCAGUGCAAGACAGAGCAAAAGAGAACUAAAAAGCCGGGCCAAGUAUGUUUGGUUAAAUAGACACUUAGGAAUUCCGUCUUUAUGUUCAUCCGGCCAAGUACAGAUGCAAAGUCCAGUUUACGAACACUUGAACAAGAGGGACUGAUAAAGGGUCUAGCAAUACUGACCUCCUGCCAUCGUGGCAGUAAGGUAAGAGUGUCCGUAAGGAUUAGCCGACAGGUAACUUUCGAUACCCGAAGUCACAUUCGCGACACUCUCCCCCCCUAGGGAAGAUCGACGUCCUCGUCGAUGCAUACUCGAGUCUAGAAUACCGCCAAGGAAACAACUCCAGAAAAAGUUCACGAUAUUCACACUAUGUGAGAAAUGCACCAACUUAAAUGAGUUAGGAGGUUGUCUAACGCGGAUGCGCUACCAGCUCAGACACCUUCCGGCCAUCACCGACAAGGAAAUGACCAACGGAGUCAACCACCCUUGUUGCUCUGGGAGUCACCCAGCUUACAAAAGUGUGAUAUGCUCCUGCCUACAGGUACAUAGAGAGAGAAGAAAAAGGCCUCAGCCCUCCUGAGCAAAGAAAUCAAACCCGUCGGUAAUAGACUACUGUAAACAGGUAGUUAGAGUUGUUUACACGGUCACGCCCUUGUAACGGAAUAAGGAACAUCGACAAAGAGGCGGGUUAUGUGACCAGUCUACAGUAGCUACCCCAUGACUAGAGAUUUCACCAUGCACAUGAAGUGUUAAAGCCAAUUUGCCUAUAUUGGCCCAAACGUCAAAGAUCAAUAGAUGGACAAUAUCAAAGUCAUAAACAAUGAUAUCGUAGAGACUUAAUUAUUAGUGAACAUAUUGUAGAUUAGAACACAAAAGUAUUCCAAAUAAGUUAUCAUCUGAUAAACUAGUAUUAUAGUAGACAAGAGCCACCAAGAUCAUCAUAAUUGGUAAACACAGAAAUCACCAUCCAACAAAAUUCAAUAGUAAGUAUAUCAUCAAGGAAACUCAAUGAUGAGACUUAACUACUGAAGAUGGUAGACAGUAUGCCAAACAACUUACUAAAGAGAACUCAAAAACACAAAGUAUCAUUGACUGACAAACACAAUGCUCGCGAAUGUAUCACCCAAAGGAAAUAUCAUCCAACCUAUCAGAACGAACUCAAGCAAUAAUCAACAGAAUAGAAUGAAUGCGGUAAGACCAAUAAACACCCAUUCAUGCCAACUAUCAUAGAAGCCAAUCUGAACAGAUCCCGGUCAACAAUGCCAAGGAACUAAAGUUGCUCAAGCAAGCAUCGGCAACAUCCUAUCGAUGUCUCAAACCCAAGAGACCAAUUCAGAGCAAACCACAAAGAAAUAUGUGGUAUUGCGAAAAGCCAAAAGCUAUCAAAGAGAACAACUAACCAUUAUGAAAGAUUAUCAAUCAUCCCAUCAAUAAAGAGAUGCAUAAUCAUCAUUGAAGAAAGAAUUUAACAUUUCGAAGAAUAGCAAAUCAUUCUAUAUCAACAACAAUCAAGCAAAACCUUUGAUAAGGAUAAUCAACUAUCUUAGAUGAUAGUCAAUCAUCAACAAUGAUUGCCAAAAUGCAAAUAUUAACUUCAACAUCGAAGCUAACAAGCCAAAAUGCCUUCCCCAACAACUUCUAACAAAUGGACCACAAGCACAAAAACUCAAGGAACCAAAAGUUCGAAGAAGCCUAUACCUAAGUCUUACUUAACAACAAUCAUGAGUCUUGUAUAGACUAACUUCAAUGCUAAAGAAGAAAUCAUGGUAUAACCCACAAUAUCCUCCUUAAUACAUCCAAAAGCUAAACUUCAUAAUGCAAAGCUAAUGAAGAGCACAGCUGCAUCAAUCAAAAGCUAAGCAUAAUGGAGCUAUGCUCAACAAGUGAUCACUAAACGAUCCUCCAUGAAUCCAUCUAUAGCAAGACGUAACUCACUUCAUAACAAGCACAAGAAGAAUCAUUAAUGAUCGAUAUAUUCCAACUCAAACCCAAUAAAGAUUCAAACUUUCCAAAUUGAUCACUAACUCUUCCGCUUGUAGAGUUAGUAUAACCCACGACUAAAUCACUUUUCAAGGAAAAGCCAAAGCUCAACCCCUACUAAAUAAUCUCGUCUAAAACACAACUAACUCAAACUUGCCACUCAGUUCAUUUGAACGUCAACAUAGUUGCUAACUAGCAAAUGCGCGAAUGCUAAUAACACAAAGCUACAACCAAAUCAUCAACACUAUCUCUAUCGAGACCAAUAAAACUCAAUAUCAAUCUUAAGGAGAGACAUUUCAUUUCACUUGAAUCUCAACAUUAAUAAUGUUAAUGACAAGGCAUCACUUCAAUGCCAUUAUCACCAUAACAAAGCUAGAAGAAAAUAAGAGUGAAUCACCACCCAAAGCUCUCUAGCUGUAGCGCACCUGAAUUUGGAGCCGAACUCCAAGCCCGUUGCACUACUAAACGAGGGUCCGGUACAAUCCCACGAGCACCAGCUCCUCGUAUCCAGCACCUGCACGCAAAAUGGUGUCAGACGGAGUCUGGCACAAUUUUGGUAUACCGGUGGCCUAACGUGAGGAGGAGGGUACUCCACCGACUAGAGCAGCGUGGAGCUUGGGCUUAGACCCAAGCCGGACGCAGAACAAGGAGCGACACAGCCCAGCGGGAGCCAAACUAAUGUCUCAGGUGGUCGGACAUGCAUUCCAACCACUAUCCCUACUAUACAUUUGGAACCCCCCACAGCCCCCCCCCCCCCUUGAGGGACACACGCUUUGGGCUUUCACCCCAAGCCUCCCUUAGUACCAGGAGUUAGUCUCUGGGACAAGUUCGAAACUUACUAAAUAUGGAAUGUCCUUAGAUUGCGAAUUUGGACACGGGACGAACACCAUUGUGUUCAGGCCGAUCUCUACAUUCCGUAGAUAUGCCAAAUGAGCUAAUCUAAACACCUUCCAUAAAUAGUAUUCGGGACCGAAAUGAGACCAACACAAUGGGCGUGAUAGCGAGGGUGUUUGGCAGACACGGUAAGCUAUCAUCCGGCGAUAUUGAGGGACUAGUCUCAAUACGCGAGGGUUCUUGCCAAACCAGUGCAAGACAGAGCAAAAGAGAACUAAAAAGCCGGGCCAAGUAUGCUUGGCAAAAUAGACACUUAGGAAUUCCGUCCUUAUGCUCAUCCGGCCAAGUACAGAUGCUAAGUCCAGUUUACUAACACUUGGACAAGAGGGGCCAAUAAAGGGAACCAGCAGUACCGACCUCCUGCCGUCAUGGCAGUAAGGAAAGAGUGCCCGUAAGGACUGGUCGACAAGUAUCUUUCGAUACCCGAAGUCACAUUCGCGACACUCUCCCCCCCUUGGGGAAGAUCGACGUCCUCGUCGAUGCAUACCCGAGUCUAGCAAACCGUCAAGGAAACAACUCCGAAAGUUAACGGAAAGCACACUAUGUGGGAAACGCACCGACUUAAAUGAGGUAUGGAACGACCUCUCCUCUACGUCCAAAGAUGUUAAGACUCAAACACCCUCCGGCCGUCACCGACAAGGAAAUGACUAGCAAAGUUAGCCACCCUUGCUGCUCCGAGUACCACUCGGCUUACAAAGGAAUGAUACAUCCCUGCCCGCAGGGACAUAGGGAGAGGGCCAGGGGCCCAACUUCCCCUGAGCAAGAAAUCUACCCCGUUGGGAAGAUUUAGAUAACUACUAUAAACUGGCAGAUUAAGUUGUUUACACGACCACGCCCCUUUUCGAAAAUGAGUCAUCGAGAGAGAGGCGGGGACUUGUGAUCAGUCUAUAAUAGUUAUCCCCAUGGUUAUGGAUUGGACCCAUGCACCGAAGUGCCGAAGUCAGUCUGCCAAAACUGACCCAAGUACGAACGAAUGAGAGGAAUGACACUUUGAUUUAUAGAAAUAUAUUACUUUAUUAAUUUGCAAGAUUUAUUACAAGGUUUUUACAAAACUAGUCUUUAUGGCUAUUCUCAUAUUCCGUGACAAGCUCACGGGCAUGGGUAAGAUUACUAAGGGGCUCCCAAGUUGAUUCACAAGUUGGGUAACCUUUCCACUUAACUAGAUACUCCCGACGUUUGGCACGUUUAAGCUAGCGCGAAUCCAAAAUAGCUUUGACUUCAUACUCAGGUUCACCAUCCACAACGUCUGGUGGUGGACGAAUCUCCCGUUGACGUGCAACAUCCAUAGUGUAAGGUGCCAAUAAAUUGGCAUGAAAUACAUUAUGAACAUUGGACAUCUCCGCAGGCAGAUCCAACCGAUAGGAUACAUCACCAAGACGUUUUAACACCCGAUAGGGCCCAACAUAUCUCGGCAAGAGCUUCCGAGACAAAGAACCCUUAAUGUUCAAGUUUCGGGAAGAUAGCCACACCUGAUCUCCCACUUGAUAAGAUACAUCCCGACGAUGCUGAUCCUUAUCACGUCGAUACCUAUCCUGAGCUUUGCCCAUCGCCUCAGUAGCUCUAGACCAACCUUGGCGUAGCUGCUCCGCAUAAGUCUCAACGGCUGGAACCAACACUUCGGACAUUGGUUUCGGUACAACAAUCUGUUGAGGAACCCCACGAGCAUUUCCUUGCAGCAUCUCCCAUGGAGAGCAGCCGAUAGCGCUGUGAAAUGUGUUGUUAUAACAUAUUUCUGCUGUAUCCAAAUGCUCAACCCAGUCGCGUUGGUCCGCUGCGACAUAGUACCGCAGAUAAUCCUCAACUUGAGCAUUCACGCGUUCGGUCUGCCCAUCAGUUUGAGGAUGAUAAGCCGUACUAAACUUCAACUUGGUACCAAACAACUGAAAUAGGGUUCCCCAAAACUUCCCCGUAAACCUUGAAUCUCUAUCUGAGAUCAUUUCUUCAGGAAGACCACGAACUCGCACUACUUCAUGGAAAAAGAGCUUUGCUGCUUGUUUCGCAUUUACUGUUCCCACAGUUGGAAUGAAGUGUGCAAUCUUCGACAACCGAUUCACAACCACCAUCAAAGUAUCAUAACCCUUAGACUUCGGCAAGCAAGUGACGAAAUCAAGUGUCACACUUUGAAAUGGCCAUGCCGGUGCUGGAAUGCACUGCAACUUUCCAGCCUGCUUCUCAGCUUUGCGCUUACAUUGCUGGCAUAUAGGGCAGGAACGGACAUAGUCCGCUACAUCACCUUCCAUACCAGACCAGAAAAAUCCCUUUUUCAAUGAAGCUAGCGUCUUUCGCUGUCCACCAUGUCCCACUGCUGGAACAUCAUGAUGUUCCCGCAAAAAUAACUGCUGCAGAUCCUUAGAGGGAAGAUACAAUCUUUCUUGCUUAUAGAAUAUAAGCCCAUCCCGAACUGAGAAGUGAAGCUUCGCAUUAGUGCGACUAGCAACUUUUGCUGCUUCGCUACCAGGGCUCUGCUUCAACAACCCCGCACGGCAUAAGAUUGCCUUCGCCAAUGGAUCACUUCCAUACGAAGCUCGAACGUCUUCUAACCAGUCUGAACUUAUUGCCGACAUUGUCCGGAAUUGAGCCUGACGACUUAACGCAUCCGGAACAAUAUUGUCCUUACCAGGUUUAUAUAUGAUUUCAAUAUCAUAUCUAGCUAGCUUCUCUUGCCAACGAGCCUGCUUUGGCGUAAGCUUAGGCUGCGUAGCAAAGUAGCUUAGUGUGUUACUAUCUGUAUAAACCUUGGUGUGUCCACCCAAGUAGUGUCUCCAGUGUUCCAGGGCCGACACUAUAGCAAACAUCUCUUUCUCAUGCGUUGGCCAUCUUCGUUGGGUUUCAUCCAAUUUCUUGGAAUAGAACGCAACGGGACAACCAUGUCGCCUUAGCGUAACACCAACGGCUUUGUCACAAUCUUGCUGUAACACGGCACCAAUAGCAUAACCAGAUGCAUCACAAUGCACUUCGAAGGGUUUAUCAAGAUCCGGGAUCCUGAGAACAGGAACCGUAGUCAAGAUCUCCUUCAAUCGUACAAAAGCACGCUGACAAGCUAGUGUCCAAUGAAACGGAAUAUUACUCUUCGUCAACUCAGUCAACGGAAGAGCAAUUCUUGCAAAAUUGCAGACAAACUUGCGAUAGUAUCCCGCCAAACCGAGAAAGGAACGAACAUCUGAUACAGUGGUCGGGACUUCCCAGGACUUCACCGCUUCCACCUUCUUUGGAUCGACUUCAAUCACGCCACCACCAACUAUAUGUCCGAGAAAGUUUACGCGCAAUUGACCAAAAGCGCAUUUACUUUCCUUAGCAUACAGUUUGUGUUCGCGCAACUUCUGAAACACCAGCUCCAAGUGUUUCAAAUGAUCCUCCAACGUCUCGCUGAAGACUAGAACAUCGUCGAUGUAUAGGACAACAAAUGCGUCCAAAUAAUCUCCGAAUAUUCUAUCCAUCAUAGUGCUGAACGUUGCUGGAGCAUUGCAUAACCCGAAUGGCAUGACAAGGAACUCGUAAGAUCCGUACCGAGUCUUAAAGGCUGUCUUCUCCACAUCCUGAUCCGCCACCCGUAUCUGAUGAUACCCGGACCGCAAAUCAAGUCGCGUAAAAUACUUAGCCUUUAAGAGUUGGUCAAACAAGUCAUCAAUGCGAGGCAAAGGAUAACUGUUCUUGAUCGUGAUCUUAUUGAGUGCCUGAUAGUCAAUACACAUCCUCAUGGUUCCAUCCUUUUUCAUAACAAAAAGGAUUGGUGCUCCAUAAGGUGACUUGCUGGGUCAGAUAUGACCUUUGUCAAGUAGCUCCGUGAGUUGCUUAUUGAGUUCAGCCAUCUCCUUGAUGUUCAACCGAUACGGAGCUUUCGUAGGUGGUUUAGAACCCGGAAUAACCUCAAUCCGAUGAUCAACCUCACGGCUAGGGGGUAGCCCUGGUGGCAAAUCCUUCGGGAAGAUAUCCUGAUUCCGCGCCAACAACUCCAAUAUCUUCUUUGGUACAGGAUCCACCCCGUCGCCAAUUCGAACAGAGUCACCCACCCUCUCAGCUUCCAUCACUUGAACCCAAAAGGUCCGACAUCCCCUCUUAGUUGCUUUUUGAGCGGCCCUCGCAGUCAGGAACUUUCCAUCCCAAUCCUUUGAGGAACACUUUUGCAACUGGAAGGACACAUCGGGUCGUCCUUCGGACUUCAACGUGAUACGACUUUGUCCAGCACCAUAAAUCCCUUUUAUAUACUUGUUGAAGAAAUCCAUACCAAACACCAUCUGAAAAUCUGGUAUCUUCAACACUACCAAGUCCACUCUUUCUUUCCACUUGGAUAUCUUUAUUGGAACAUCACUCACAAACUUUCUGGCUACUUGCCCACCUUCCGCAAACCGGAAGUGCAUAGGCGACAUUUGCUCAGCAUUCAAUCCUAACAACUUAACUAAGUCUUCGGAUAUCACGCUGUGCGUAGCUCCCAUGUCAAUCAUCACUCGGAUUCGGUGUCCACGGACAAAGCCUACCAGAUACAUCAACGGAUCAGUAUUUGCAUUGACUGUAAGAAAAGCUUGAGGAAAGCAACGAAAGUUACUCACCUCUUGCUCCUCAUAGUCUGCAUUGACCAACUCGUCAACCCCUUCAGCUUCAUCACCACCGUCUUCCCUCAUGACAUUAACUCGAGACCUUGUCUUAUGCUUGUUGGGACAAUCCGAGGACCUAUGUCUCGACUCUCCACAAUGGAAGCAAUGACCCACACUACCCGUUCCGCUAGGAGCAAGUUUUGCAGGUUGCUGCUGCUUGUACCCACCAGGAGGAGGAACAGAGGGCCUAGGACCAGAAGAAGCUGCUGGUGGUCUCCAACCACCACCACCUUUGUUAACCGUUGCUUGUGAGCCUCCAGGGCGGAACCUACUUUCCACCCUCUGUUUCCGAUCACCUUGUUUAUUCCCAGAAUUCCUAUUCUUGUCCGAGUUACCAGCAUACGGUUGCUGAUAUUGUUCCAUGAGUGAGUGACUAAAGGCAACUUGCUGCGCUGCCUCCUUACACUCCAGAUACGUCUUCGGCUUAAACUUCAAAAUCUCAUUGCGAGAAAGUGAAUUUAAACCCUCCAGAAAAUAACUCCGAGCAUCUUCGUCACUCAUAUUUGCAAUCAUAAUGCGCUUCUGAGCAAACGCAUUAACGUAAUGCAUGAGAUCACCUCGCUGCUUUAACCGCCGCAGCUCCGCGCGAAGUCUCAGACCAAGAUCAUCUGGCAAGUAUUCCUUACGGAUACGAGACCGCAUCUUGGUCCAACUUCUAGUCUGCCCUUUUUCAGCACACACUUGGCGCCACCAAGUUUUGGCAUGAUCGGUGAGAAAGGAUUGCGCGCACGCAACUUUCGUACGAUCAUCUACGUCUGUUGCUAUGAAGUAGUUCUCCAUAUCGUAGACCCAGUCUUCCAAAACCUGAUAGUCCCGCAUGCCUCUGAAGUUGGGUGGUUUCGGAGGCUUGAACUUUGAAACUCGUGCAAUCGGGGGCGGUUGCAGAACUUCUUCGUCCUCAGAACUUGAAGAGGAGUCUGGUUGCUUAGGCUUAGCUGGUUUAGCUGCCUCAGCUUCUUUCUUCCUCUUCUUGUUCUCCUUCUUCAAUUUGCGAAUCUCCUUUCGCAAAUUCUCGAUCUCGACUUCCUGAGCCGUACGCUGCAACGCCGCAGCAUUUGGCUCUUCCUCUUCCGACUCAGCCUCUGCCUCUACCGCAGCAUCUCUAGCAGGACUUUCCUCCUCUCGAUUUGCCCGUCUAGAGGUUUCAGCGUCAUCAGCACGGUUCCGUUUCACCAUCCCGCUAGCUGCAUACAUGCCUCUAUCAGUAACUGAACAUGCAUACAACGUUCUUACCGAAUGGUGCAAUCCAACUAAUCCUACACAGGUCACUUCGGAUCUACUAGAAAAGUCUCUGCGUAUGCAACUUGAGUCAGAAAAUCUGACAAAAGUUGGAUAGGAAUCGCUGAGACAAUUCCUCUGAUACCAAAUGUAGCGCACCUGAAUUUGGAGCCGAACUCCAAGCCCGUUGCGCUACUAAACGAGGGUCCGGUACAAUCCCACGAGCACCAGCUCCUCGUAUCCAGCACCUGCACGCAAAAUGGUGUCAGACGGAGUCUGGCACAAUUUUGGCAUACCGGUGGCCUAACGUGAGGAGGAGGGUACUCCACCGACUAGAGCAGCGUGGAGCUUGGGCUUAGACCCAAGCCGGACGCAGAACAAGGAGCGACACAACCCAGCGGGAGCCAAACUAAUGUCUCAGGUGGUCAGACAUGCAUUCCAACCACUAUCCCUACUAUACAUUUGGAACCCCCCACAGCCCCCCCCCCCCCCUUGAGGGACACACGCUUUGGGCUUUCACCCCAAGCCUCCCUUAGUACCAGGAGUUAGUCUCUGGGACAAGUUCGAAACUUACUAAAUAUGGAAUGUCCUUAGAUUGCGAAUUUGGACACGGGACGAACACCAUUGUGUUCAGGCCGAUCUCUACAUUCCGUAGAUAUGCCAAAUGAGCUAAUCUAGACACCUUCCAUAAAUAGUAUUCGGGACCGAAAUGAGACCAACACAAUGGGCGUGAUAGCGAGGGUGUUUGGCAGACACGGUAAGCUAUCAUCCGGCAAUAUUGAGGGACUAGUCUCAAUACGCGAGGGUUCUUGCCAAACCAGUGCAAGACAGAGCAAAAGAGAACUAAAAAGCCGGGCCAAGUAUGCUUGGCAAAAUAGACACUUAGGAAUUUCGUCCUUAUGCUCAUCCGGCCAAGUACAGAUGCUAAGUCCAGUUUACUAACACUUGGACAAGAGGGGCCAAUAAAGGGAACCAGCAGUACCAACCUCCUGCCGUCAUGGCAGUAAGGAAAGAGUGCCCGUAAGGACUGGUCGACAAGUAUCUUUCGAUACCCGAAGUCACAUUCGCGACACUAGCAACCAAGCUAACCAAAGUCGAAGAUACUUUAGUUAGUAUCCAAGAUCAAUUCUUCAAUAAUACUCAGCUACAGAUAACACUUCAUCAAUGAGUGAUUCACCACAUCCAAGACUCAAUGAAAUUCAACACCACAGACUAAACGUAACCAAAUGAUAUCGAUAAAGGUAGAAUCGAUAUGAUAACAUAGAAAACCCAUAUAAGUCUAACAACAUGAUCCUCCGCAACACCAUCCGGCAAAGUAAACCCAUCACUGCUAAAUCAUCAUCGAGUGAAGCAAGUGUCACAGUCUUUGAUGAAGUCUACAAGCAAUCACUAGUCGCAAAACAACCAACAAUCACUCUUCAACUUGCUUUCACAAGGCCCAAACACUAAACUCAUGCCAUUAAGUCAUAUAUUUGUCCAAUAUGAAUGUAAUACCUCAUGGACAAGAUAAAGAUUCAUAGACAAGCAUAAACUAAAUGACCACUUGAAUCUAACUCAACCGCAAUAAGCUCACCAAUGCAUUUAGCCACUAGCUCUGAGCAUGCCUUGAAGAGGCUAGCUAUGUGUGAUUAACACUUAGUCAGAACUAAAGUGAAGACCACGAGAUGGACUCCUAUCGGUACACAACUUCCACUUUGACAAGGUAUAAUAUAGGUACUAACAUCUCAACCUCAAACAACUAAGUUGAACAUCACCAUCCUUAGCCAAGGCGCAAAACCACCAAGACCAAAUCAAGAUCAGUGAGAGCUCAUUACUCUUAUAGAGUCUAACGAAAUGCAAGGUGCAACCUACCACCAAGCUGAACACUAUAGAAGAAAGGCACAAGGGUCACCUUUCUAGAAAAAUGCAAUGGCCACCUUUCUACACCAACUCCAGACUCUAUCCAACUCAAUUGCCUUAGCCCCAAAAGUCAGCAUCCCUUUCAGGCCGCAUCAUACAAACUAUCUACUAGAAUCUAAGCCAAUUGAAGUCAACUCCAACCCCUUCACUAGUUUGUACUAGCUUUAUGAAAACAUAAUGGUUUUUGAGCAAAGUGAUCAAUAGAUCAGCCAUUGAAAAAGUCUAAGAAAAUUUGUGGAAAAUUUCCAUCUUAGAGAAAGAAUGACUCUUAGUCUAGGACUGUAAACUUUCAAGACUCAACCAACUUCCUCCUACUAACAACUUCACAUAAGUUCAUUUUAACACAAUAUCUCAUGACCCAUAGUAUGCUUAAGUCUCGAACAUCUUUUUUUGCCCAUACUUCUGACAUCUAACACUGACAUCCGCAAAAUGCAAAAUGAACAUCCAAGGUUUGAUCACGAAGACCAUAUCUUUGGACAUUCAUAAUGCACUAACACUCUUCUUCAACCACCUUCAAGAUCCAAUGUGAAGCCAAAACACUAACAAGAAAAAUGACAUAGAAAAUCAAGUUAAGGAAAAUUCCUCAUCACUUGAACAAUAAUGCCACUUCCACUAACACAAGUGCUAGCGAUGUCAAUACCUCAAUUACACACUUUCUCCAUAGAAUAAUUUACUCCAAGUGUUAACAGAUCAACCGACAAGCCAUAGCAAGUGAAUGCUACAACCCUUUUCCAACACCUCAAUGGGCAAACUUAAGGAACAAACUUAAGCUUAGCAUAAUGAACCAUCAUCGAGAAUCCAGUCAAAGCUACUACAAUGCUACUUUAUGCAAGUAGACUAGCUUCACCAUUAACCACUUUGGGGUUGAUCAUCGUUUAACAAAGCAACUUCGUAAACAUAUCGCUCAUUAUCACAUGGAUAUGAUAUAAGUAUCACAAUGACUUGGUCAUCAAUUGAGCAACACCACGAGCAACACCCAUGUCAUUACUUCAAAGGUUUAUGUGACUAUCAAGUGCCAACUCGAUCGACAAAAUGCAACAUAAAUGCCACACUCCACUAAUAGAGAUUUACAACACUGAACACCACUAACUUUUGUUCACAACAUGGACAAGCUCAAGCCACUCUCUAUCCGACUAAACUCAACACUAAUCUAACACCAAGUUACUCAAGGAGCAAUAGCAAAGUUCCCUAGAAAAGAAUUGAGCAUUGCAACCCAAGUCUUCAAUAGCAAACCUAGACAAAAUGGUAUAGCGCUUCACCACUAUCCAUCCCUUGGCUCACCAUUUGCAAGACCAUCAUUUUCCAUAUGCACCAAGAUAGGCAAUCUUUAUUGCAUAAUGUGACCACGAGCAAUAAGUUAUACCUUGCUGCGAAUCAUCUCUCCAAGAAGAGAAAAUGAUUUACAUGUUUGAUCCUUCGUCCUUGACGACUUUCUUUUCGGUCUCAUUUUUUACUAAACCUCAAGCUUGCGUUCGCACUGCCUUCAGUCCAAUCCAAGAAAAGUUUAUGAGAGAGCAUGACAAUGAUUAUUUGAAUCAAUAGACUCAUCCCUACAGUCUUAGUUAAUCCACUUGUAAUCAUGCCUAGGAAGGAUCCACUAGUGCUGUGCUAAAUAGCUACGGACUAGCAUAUUUACCACUCAUAGCAAACCCAGGGAAAGUUUACUUUCACCCUUGGUACAUGGAACAACUCAUAGAACCACCGAUAGGCUAACAUUAAUCCUGCCAACUCAAAGUGUAUCCUCGAGUUACUAAUGCGCCUCACUCACGAGUCCAAGCUCAAACUCGUGCGAACAGAACAACUCAAUCCCUCUUGUGAGCCCAAGCUCAAGCUCACAGAAUAUGGUACAACAAGGGAACCAAAUCCAUACUCAAGGAACGAAUGUGAAGCCUUUGCACCAAACAUGUACCCACUUGAAUCAUCAUUUUCAUCUCUGUGUAUGCAAUGAGACUAGUUGCCCAAUCUCAUUGUAUAGUACUCGCUGAGACGUAUCCUCUGAUGCCAAAUGUAGCGCAUGUGGUUUUUACAUUUUAUCCUAUAGUGAUUUACCAUAGGAUAAAACCACGAAGCGGAACCUAAACCCUCUUUAUGCCACGUGACACAUGCCAAGUGUCAUAUACCACGUGUCCAAAGGACAGUGGUGCAGAACCCGAGGUUCAAGGCCUUGGGCCACUGAACAAAGGAACGGUGCCAAACUCCCAAGCAUGGAGCCAAGGAUGAUGGAACCAAACCAUGGAGCAACUCCCAAGCAUACAGCCCAAGGAGCGAAGGGACAGGAGGCCAGAGCGACUUGGAACAGUCCUAGAGCAACUAGCAUCCCAUUGCCAGGACUAGCACUCAAAACGGAGCCAAACAGAGUCUGGUGCUAUUUCGGCAUACUGGUGGCCUAACGCAAGGACAUGGGUAUUCCAUCAGCUAGCAUGGAAUGGAACUUGGGCUUAGACCCAAGCCAGACGCAGAAUAAGGACAAGCACGCAAGCAAGAGCUAUAUUAUGCCUCAGGUUGGUCAGCCAUGCCCGACCUACCCACUAUCCCUACUAUACAUUUGGAACCCCCCACAGCCCCCCCCCCCCCCCCCCCCCACCUUGAGGAACACAUGCUUUGGGCUUUCACCCCAAGCCUCCUUUAGUAUCAGGAGUUAGUCUCUGGGACAAGCUCGAAACUUACUAAAUAUGGAAUGUCCCUAGAUUGCGAAUUUGGACACGGAACGAACACCAUUGUGUUUAGAACAAUCUCUACAUUCCGUAGAUAUGCACAAAGGGCAUGAUAGCGAGGGUGUUUGGCAGACACAGUAAACUAUCAUCCAACGAUAUUGAGGGACUAGUCUCAAUACACGAGGGUUCUUGUCAAGCCAGUGCAAGACAGAGCAAAAGAGAACUAAAAGCUAGGCCAAGUAUGUUUGGCUAAAUAGACACUUAGGAAUUCCGUCCUUAUGCUCAUCCGGCUAAGUACAGAUGCAAAAUCCAGUUUACUAACACUUGAACAAAAGGGACUGAUAAAGGGUCUAGCAAUAUCGACCUCUUGCCAUCGUGCCAGUAAGGUAAGAGUGUCCGUAAGGACUAGCCGACAGGUAACUUUCGAUACCCGAAAUCACAUUCGCGACACUUAGUCACUAAGCAAAAGGACUAUUCCUUUUCCUUUCCAUAAUCUGUGACUUUGGGAUGACAUUUCGGAACACCAUAACCCUAUAAGAGCUUUGUGGUACUCUCCCCACCUUCUCCCUUUGAGUGUCCUAGCCAUGUUGAUAGAGCAAGGUUCUGAUAAACCAUGCUAAGUAACUAAGUAGAUAGUGCCACCCACACUUGGAUUGGGAGCAUCGACCAUUCGAUCCCCCUAGGGAGCUAAAACCAGAUCUUGAACACUUCACCAAGCUACAUAAUUUGUCUGUCUUCAUUCACUUUAUCUUGGGACUCUUUAGUGGUUAUAUCGUCAUCCACCAAGUGGGUGUAGCCUUCCUAGGUCACACUAGCCUUUUCUUGGCUAAAUUGGUUCUACUGGAGUCCAAACCUUACACUCUCUCUACUAUACUUUUGGAACCCUUUGCAGCCCCCCACGAUCGCUUUGGGUUUUCACCCACAACUUGUAUUAGUAUUCAAACUAGGGAGUUCAAAGUUAGGAGUGGCAAUAUGCUUCAUUGGUUUGAAGGGGCACAAAGUCUGACUAUAGGCCUAGUAUAGAGAUGCAUUAGAUGUCAAGGACAAUAUAGUUGGGGUAUGUGAGUCAUGUGGGACAAGAUAGGUGUUGAAGUUGGUAUGUCUAUUUAGGAGGUUAUGGGCCAUGAGCAUUGGGCGGUAUAGUGAGCGAUAGGAGUAUUGGCAUUUUGGGAGGCAUGCAAUCACUAUCACUUUGACGGACAACAAGUGAAGAUUUCAGCUAUUGUGGCUAUGUGGUAGAAAUUUACUUUGGCAAUUGUGCACCUUCACUAUGCCAUUCUGAAGGAAUGAGUGAAACCUAAGUGGCUUGGAGAAUGGUGAAGCUAGUGGCUCUUGUAUUUUAGUAAGAUGGUCGACAACAAGGUUCGCUACAUGGAGGGCAUUUGGACAUUGACAUGAUCCACAAGAAACAUCCAUGUCCACUUUUACUUCAGAACUAGAUCCAUGUGAAAUAUGAGAAGAGUAGCUUAAAGGGUAGUAAGCCAGAUUUUUGUAUUAGCCUCCUUGAGAUAUUGAAAAAUAUACAUACAAGUUCACUAAAAUAAGACUUUGCAUAUGAGGAAUGAUAGUGCAAGUGUCUUGGUAGACAUGGUAAGUUAUUAUUUAGUGAAUACUGAGGGAAUAUACUCAAUAUCAUAGGGGUUUUUAACAUUAACAAGUAUAAGUUAACAACAUGAGUUUCUCAUCACUAUGUCAAGUAUGUUUAAUUGAUAAUUUAGAAUUUCCUUCCUUAGUGCCUUUCUAGUCUAAGUGCAAAUGAAUGACUCAACUAGCUUGGGUGGAAAUUAUUAAAGGGUAUAACAAUACCAACCUCCUGCCAUUGUUGUAGUAAAAGAAGAAUUUCUAAAAAGACUUUAAUACUUCACAACACACUUUAUCUGCCUAAUAUUACAGCAUUUGGUUUAUCUAAAGAGAUCUUUGCCUAGUGGAAUGAUUGUUGUGAGCUUUGGUAUAAUAUUCAAUAGGCCAAUAUUCUAGAAAUUAUGCACAAUUGAAGCACUUUGUACAAAGGGAUUAAGAAUAAAUUAUACCACUUAUAGAUCUAUCGGUGCUUCCUCUUAAUCAUUAAUAAGAAAACCUUAAAUUGCCUUUGAUCCUUUUAAGAGGAGGGGACCAUGUGAAGUUUAAGUGAUAAUAUAUAUUGUUAUUAUAAUGGGAUUUUAAUAACCAUCAAAUUGAUUUAAAUUCAGACCACUCACUCUUGUAUAUAAGUUAGGGAUUUUGGGCUAAUUGAAUAUAUACAUUUUUGUAUUCUAUGCACUUACAUACCUUUAAAUGUGGUAUUUAAAAUAAUUUUAAUCAAUUAAUCCCUCCCUGAUUGGAUCAUGUUAGCUUAUAUAGAAGGUGUUGGAGGGAGUGUUCUAAUCUUUUGACAAACUGGAAGACAAAACUAGAAGACUAUAGCAUUGUCUCAUAGAGUAUAAUGAUUUUACAUUCACAUAUAUUAUAUAGUGGAGUAGAGUUUUAUGUAGUGCUCAUGGAUGCAAAUGCCUUUGUGACAGAAACUCUAGACUAGUCUCUCAUUGUUAGAAAUAUUAUGCAAUUCCUACUGAGAUUGCUCGAAUUCUUUGUUCAAGAGUUAUGUGUGUCAAGAGUGUUAUCCAAGGACUAUAUUAUAAACAUUAAGCAAGGAACUGGAAAGUAGAGGCCAAAGUCUAAGUACAAUUUUCCCAUCAUAUCUCUUGAUCCUAUUUGGAGGAGUGAGAGAAAACUAAAAACCCUAGCUCUCUUAUAUCUGGAUAUUUUAAGUAUAUUCUUUAUACUCUAAUCAUUUUGAACUUCUACAUUAAUACACAUCCCAGGUCUAGGCAUAUUUAAAUUUUAAGUUGAGGUCUAGAAGGGGAUCAAGUUUAAUAGUGAAGCAACAUUAACACCAUUGGAACUCCAUUCUUGGGAACUAGAGUCCUAGCAACUAUGGAGUUGUGAUGAUAAUCAGGUGAUGGAAUCAUUGCAAUAAGGAGGCCACAAUAAUCUUGGCUUGGACUUGAGAGUAAGCCCGACCAUGCAAGCCUGCCCACUAUACAAGAAUGGCAUGAAAGCCAUGUGAGCUGCCAAGCUCCUAUGCAAAGCACUUGGGAUUAAACUCAUUUGCGUCCUCUCCCCACAUUUUGGCACUAUAUUGCAUCAUGGUAUUGUGCACGGAUACUAGUAUGAAGAGGUGGUUGACAUAGCAAUCUUUGAGUGCUACUUGAUGAAUGAUUGGGAACACAGGAUGGAGUUGCAACAUUUCCAUGAUAUCAUCUCAACCUGCUUGGAAGACCAUGAGAAAACUAUAGAAAGCAUACUAGCUUGAACUUUUCUAGCACUUUGGCAAUGAGCUCCAAGACUUCCACUCAAGCCUUCUCCUGCUAUUCUGGAUUCACAGCCAGAAGCAGCAUAACCCACAAGUACAACAAAGUGAGUGAGACAUGCCUAGUUGUAUAGAAGGUUUUAUGAUAUUAAGCUUGUCAUAAGUUGUUGUCAAGCAUCACACACUCUUGUAAGCAAGGUUGAUCCCGAUCAUUAUGAAUGGCAACUGCCUGACUAAUUGAUUGUGGUUAUUAAUCAGCCGUGAAAGUGUUAAAUGGCUGACUGGUUCUUUUUUUUAUUUAAAAAAACAUUUUUAGUAAAAGAAAACUAAUAAAUUUUUUUAAAAAACCAAAACAUUAGAAAUCAAUUACUAUUCAUUUUCUUCAACAAUUUUUAACAACUUCCUCAACAUCUCCAACAUCUUCCUCAACAAUCCUUACAUUCUCAUUUGGAAGAUCUUCUUUAACUUCCAUCUCUAAAUCUUUUAUACCAAUAAAUUUAAACUUAGUUUGCAUCUCUACAAUCUUCAUCCAUUAUAGUUCUAUUGUAAUUGUAUUAAGAUUAAUCUCUAAAAAUUUCAUUCCUUCAAUUUCAACACGAUCCACCACUCUAGUGUUAUAACUUCUUCAAGUUCUCGAGAAGCAAGUGAUUCCAUUAUUUGAUUUGGAUCAAGUUUCAAUUACUUCAAUUUUGCUUAUAUGAAGAAGAAUACAUUCCUUGUCUCAACACAUGAAGUGCAAACUUCCUCAACUCGGGUAUCUCAUACCUAUAGAACUCCCAUCAAAACAUUGGGAAUUUCUUUUUUGCUUUGCACUUUAGCAAAUCCUGAUUAAUAGCUAUUCUAAUUCCUCGUCAAAACAUAUUGAAUUAUUUAUCCAACUUCUCUUUCAGCUAAGUGUCCCUAUAGCAAUAGAGCUAUGCAUCAUAAACCAUUGAGCUUUUUGUCUACAUUAGUUUUGAACCAAGACACACUUAGUUAUAUCAAUUUUAUCUACAUCAAACUUGUUAUUUUGAACUAUAAGCUCUAAUCCUUUAAUCAUACAAUAUAUUGCUUCAUAGAUUAAAUUUGUUGUUGCACCUUUGUGAUUGGCAAGACAUAACACCUUCAAAAUAGGAGCUAUUAUAAUCAAUAAAGUAGAAACAUUCUUCUAAAAUUCAUCAUUAAAAAUUAUUGUGCAAACAUCUUUGGCAUCCUUUUGUAAGUGAAUAAUUUUUCCAUUUUACUUUAAUCACUUAACCACACCUCUAACCACUUGGAGGAGUCUCACUCACAACAUCCAUAAAUCCUAUUUCGGACUUAGGUUUGCUAGCCCCGAGAAUGGCAUCCCCGCCACUCAACCUUUGCACUUGGUCCAAGUGCUCCACGUGUCCGAUCCCAUGACUAACAUCCCAAGAUACCAUUGACAUAUCAGCCUGUUACGCUAAGGCCAUGCCCCUUCACCUUAGUCACACUGAUGGUCUAACACCACCUGCAUCAUAGUCCUGUCUCUCAAAGACUAGACCAUCCAUCCAUGAGUGAUCAUCCCAGAUCCACUCCUUAGCAUCCUUAAGAUGCCCGUAGACAUAGGGAAUAGCCUUCCCUAAUAUCCCUUUUCCAAUCCCCAUCAAGUCCCUUUCUGUCCAUAGCCGUGUUCACCAACACUACCACUACAUCAAGGCCCACAAGCCCGACCAUUAAGUCCCAUGGUCCUCUGGGACUUCCUCUUCACAUGACCCUAUCCUUGGUCUUUACACUGGAGGACUGCUCCUCUUCCUUUUCACAGUCUAGGACUUUGGGGCAACAUUUUGGAACAUUGUGGCCUUACGUGAGCUUUGUAGGUAUUUUCCCCGCCUUCUGCCUUUGGGUGCUCUAGCCAUGGGCUUAGAGUGAGGUUUUGUUGAGCCACACCAGGUAUCCAAGUAGGUAGUGCCAUCCACACUUACACUGGGAGCAUCGACCAUUCGAUCUCCCAGAGGAACUAAAGUUGGCUCUUGAACACUUCACCAAGCUACCCCACUUGUCGGUCCAUAUUCACUCUAGUCUUGGAAUUCCCAAUGGUCAGCUCAUCACCUAACACCUAGGUACAGCCUUCCUGGGCCAAACUAGCCUUUCCUAGCCAAACUGGCUCCACUAGGCUCUAAUCUCCACACUCUACCUAGUAUAAUUUUGGAACCCCCUGCAGCCCCCCCCUAGGGGACGAUCGCUUUAGGCUUUCACCCAACAGCUUAUAUUAGUAUUCGGACUCGGACUUGGACUCGAACUCGAACUCGGACUCAGUCUCAAUCCCGGUUUUAGACUCGGACUCGGCCUCGGUCUUGGUCUUGGUCUCAGUCUUGGUCUCGGUCUCGGUUCCAUCUCGGAUUCCAUCUCAGACUCCAUCUUGGGUCCAUCUCGGACUCCAUCUCGGGUCCAUCUCGGACUCCAUCUUGGACUCCAUCUCGGACUCCAUCUCGAACUCCAUCUCGGACUCCAUCUCAGGUUCAUCUCGGACUCCAUCUCGGGUCCAUCUCGAACUCCAUCUCGGACUCCAUCUCAAACUCCAUCUCAAACUCCAUCUCAGACUCCAUCUCGGGUCCAUCUUGGGUCCAUCUCGGGCUCCAUCUCAGGUCCUUUUGUGUCCCUUUUCUAGAGACUCACUUAUCGCUCAUUUUGUCCUUGUUCCUCGAGCAUUUCGUUGGGAGUUCCCCUCCCGCUCUUGACCUUUCAAGUUGGAGCUUUUGGCCCAAACGUGUUACACUUGUUUGGCUUUCGCUUCGGCCACUACCAUAUAGCACCCUUCCGGCUCCACUUUGGGGCUUAAGGAUUUUGUGUUUCACAACUCCACCACCCAUAGACGAAGUUCGAUGUCCUUAUCUAACAAUAAAAUAUUUGAUAAAGUAAUACCAAUAUGUAUUACCCUUUCCAUUCUUGGCACCUCGCCAAUAUUCGUCAAUGGUUUGAUACUGAAAGUUCACCAUGCCUUGCCCAUCCUCUAAGGAGGAUAUUCUCUCCAACUUAAAGACUAAUUGGACCACUUGUGGUGGUUCUCUUUUUUUAUUGGUUUAAUUCUCGCUAAACCUAUUAGAGACAUCAUCUCUAUCUUAAUCCCGCUACUCCUUCUCAAGUAGUCUCAAUUUCUAUCAAUAUAAUCUUUGCACUUUGGAACUUUUACUUUUGACUUCUUAAAGUCAAUUUCCUAGGUGUCUCUGACACCUUGUAUUGCACAUAUUGUGCAACUCCACUUCCCCAUCCUAGGAAGUCCUCUACUUGAGGGCACCAUCAUCCUCUGUUUUAUUUCGUGCCACUUUGGGCACUAAAUUCCAGUUAUCAUAAUUUGUGCUAGGGCUAUCCAUAUCCCUAUUAUUUGGCUACCUUAUUGCUCCUUGCCUUAGAGUUUGUAUUUUCGCCAAAUCAGAGCAAUUGGGAAUUCAUCCUUGGAAACACAUUGCCUUUUCCACAAUUCGUUAGCAUUUAACACAUUAGUGUUUUUGGCCAACUUUGCUUUUUUGGAUUCUUUCCCAUAAUUCCCAUGGCUCUUUUCUUAGCCACUAGUCUUUUGCUCCUCUCUUUGAUUGUUGCACUCAGCAACAUCGGAUCAUUACUUCCUUUCUCGAGGCAUCCUUUCGGUUCCAUAGCAAAGACUUUGCUUUGCCAAGUCCAAAGGGUGUUCAUCCUUAGUACGUCUCUUUAGCAUUUUCUACUGUGGGCUCUAUUCCUGGCCCAACUUUGGGACCCUCCCAGGGGUCUCUUAUAAAGACUACUUUCUUCGGAUUCCCUAUGCCAUUGCAUUGUCACAAAUCAUUUCCCUUAGGUGUUCUUCCUACUUGGUCACCUUGACCAAGCUACACCAUCAUCCAUAGUUCAAAUCAACAUUUUGAACUAGGAACCUUAUCCCUUUUACAUCACAAGGACUUAGUCUUUAUUUUUAGCCAUAAGAUCACCUUGUGAUUUAACUUUGGCACCUUAACAGGUUUGCUAAUAGGUGCUAAGUCCUCCAGACCUUUAAGUUGUUCACCAUAACCUCAGGAACAUCCCCCACACUUGGCGGUGCACCCAAGCCAGCCCUUACGGCUCCAUAGCAACUAAGAUUAAGUAUCCCCAUCCCAUUCACCACGUCCUUGGUGCCACUCACACCAAAGUGUUCAAGUUAGAUAUGCCGAGCCACAUUAAGCAAUCUAACCGUGCAUCACGACUUCGGGGCAUCCCUCGCUUAGCAGUGUGCCCAAACCAAUCUCCUUACUGAGAAUCCAUGACUACCGAAAAAUGAGUGUCCUUAUAUUUCAAACCAUCACCGCGCUCUAGUGAGUUGGGACUCAAACCCAAGCAUUAGAGGGUCGAGACUCGAACCCGUGUGACUCCCCACGCCAGUGCACCAACUUAUAGUUAAAGCACGCUAUAAAUCACAGCUUAGGAACCUAGUUCCUUUGCACUGCCAAGUCCUCUCACUUGACAAGUCUGUGAUCAUGCAUGGACUCCUCUAUGCUUGGCCCCAUGGGCCACCCCUUUUGGAAGUUGGCACCUUCAACUAGGGGAUUUAUUCCUCUGACUUGCCAAUCUCACUUAGUAAGUCAUCCGACUAACGUAAUAUGGUUUCAUGCACAAGCGUGAAAGUCCUCGACCAUCGACUUUCAUUCAAAGCUAUCCCUUUGAGCACUCAGGAACUACUUCCCCAACCUGGAUAGCAUUGCGUUAUGGCAAGCUUCAAGGCCACACUUCUGCUGCGCCACUUUAAUUUCGCGCGUUCUAUGAACCAUUUACCCUUGCUAAGGCCUCUCCUUUCGCAAGCUUUUAAAUUGUCAUAUGGUCUAACAUAAACAAUUCCAUGCUUUAGACUCUCCAUAGCAUCACAGUUGCUAGUAACAACAUGCUUGAGCACCCACUUGAUUCUCCACUCCCAAUUGACAUAACCUUGGUUAUGCAAUUCAAUUCUUAUGGUUUAGUUCUAUCCCCUUACUACUUGCUUUUAGCCUCACACCUUUCCUUCGGUUAUUCUCCUCUAGACUAGGAGGAUAACUUUGCACUUUUUACUAUGCCGUAGCAAGUAUUCUUAGGGAUGAACCUACCUGAUAGCCUAGGGAGUGGUUCCUCAAUCCGGGUAUGCUCAACUUAUAAUCCCACACACUGGGAUUAACGUUACUACUUAUGGGCUUUUAUAUGCCCAUCACUAGCCUUGCCAAAAUUCCAUUUUGGCUUUAUCCAAUUCGAGUAGAUAAUCUUCUUCUGUCUCCACAACCUUGGACAUUUGGAUAACACCUUCUAUCCAUCAUUCGCUAGGAACUUAGUCCCUUAGGCCUUAUUUAUUACCCUCGCGACACUAAACACCACCUUUUGGUGUCCUAGAGUGUUUGGGUGUCCCAAUGAUGGCCUCCUUGACAAUGAGCAUUUCCUUUUACGACAUUGACUCACUAUCUCGCAACAUAAGAAAUUUAUCCCAUGUAAGGGUAUAUCUAACUUCUUUAUGCCAUUAAGAAGUCUUGGGUAGCUACCUUCUACCCAUUUAACUAAUUAUUUUGCACUUUUUGCUUAGUUGCUUUGUAGUUGUCAAGUUCUACAACUCAUUGUUUGGUGCUUCCACACCUCCAUCAUUAUCUGGGUCACCACACUCCAACCGCAUGCCUUCCAGCUUAGGCUAUGCCAUUCCCAUUUCCAUUAGGAUUCCUUUGGGAAGGGGUUCUCGUGAACCUGCCAACUUCAUCUUAAGGCAUCACGCCUUAGCAUAUUCGAUAUCUCCGCACCAUCGACUCCAAGAGCCUACCUUAAGACACUUCUUUCUUGUGUCUAGGUCCUUGCCAAGAUCAAUGCAAUUCUUUCUUAUGCCAAUUGUCCAUUAGCACUGCACUAUAGAGUUUACACAUAACUUUGUGUCAAAGUUGUUCUCUUCUGGGAACACCUUUCCCACAACUUUAGUAUGGCACAUUCUACCAUCCAUAAGAUACCCACUGUUCUCAUACUUGGAUCUUAUGAUCCCCCCGAUCCUUCAUGGGGCACAACACACCUCAGUCCAAAUGCUUUUACCAAUCUCUUAGGGCCAUUUCUUGACUUUACUUGAGUCACCUAGCAUUUUUGGACUUUGUUAAUCCAAUGACCCGUGAGGUACUAUUUUUGAGGUGUCAGCUCGCUUGAAUCCAACUUCAUGUAUUCGUAUCCUAUUCAUAAGGACCAUGUUUGCAAGUGUUACUCCAACACUUGAUUAUUUUCCAUUCUCUAUGGGCUACCUUUGCCCCUUAGGAUUAUCUGUUCAUUUCAUGAGAAUACCGACUUUUCGUUUAAGCAUACCCCCAACUCUUUGGGUUUGUUUUAGCAUUUCAAGCGCCAACUAGCAUUUCAAGGACUCGUGUCCUUAUCCGUAUUUGACAUCUUAAGGUCUUUAAUUCCGGUCUCAAAUUCAUGAGCACCAGCCUCAACUAUAUGAGGAUAAUCUUGUGACUCCGUUAUUGUUUUGGAGUCUCUAUUUUUCCCGUAAUCCCAACUAUAAUUAUUUACCACAACUACAUUAGCCAACUUGCUAAGUCAAAUGCUCAUCUGGACCACAUCCUCAACUCUCUAAAGAAACCCUUAUACUGUUCCCAAGAUCCCAAAAUCAUUCCCUUACUGACCCUUUUCUAUUCACCACAUCGCACCCAAGUUCACGCAUGAACUUGAAUGGAGAGUCAUGUCCUCUUGACAUGCUACUCCUCAAGGAUAGGCCCACUCCUAGGACCUUCCGAUGCCAACAUCAAUGGUGAUAUGCUUGAGUACCAAUAAAAGUCAGACUAAGGAACAGCUUUGAUACCAAGUUGUAAGUGACUAAUUUUUCCAUUUUACUUUAGUUACUUAACCACACCUCCAACCACUUGGAGGAGUUUCACUCACAACCUUUAUAAGUCCUAUUUCGGACUUAGGUUUGCUAGCCCUGAGAAUGGCAUCCCCGCCACUUAACCUUUGCACUUGGUCCAAGUGCUCCACGUGUCUGAUCCCAUGACUAACACCCCAAGAUACCAUUGACAUAUCAGCCUGUUACGCUAAGGCCAUGCCCCUUCACCUUAGUCACACCGAUGGUUUAACACCACCUACAUCAUAGUCCCGUCUCUCAAAGACUAGACCAUCCAUCCAUGAGUGAUCAUCCCAAAUCCACUUCUUAACAUCCUUAGGAUGCCCGCAGACAUAGGGAAUAGCCUUCCCCAAUAUCCCUUUUCCGGUCCCCACUAAAUCCCUUUCCGUCCAUGGCCGUGUUCGCCAACACUGCCACUGGAUCAAGGCCCACAAGCCCAACCACUAAGUCCUAUGGUCCUCUGGGACUUCCUCCUCACAUGACCUUAUCCUUGGUCUUUACACCAGAGGACUGUUCCUCUUCCUUUUCACAAUCUAGGACUUUGGGGCAACAUUUCGGAACACCAUGGCCUUACGCAAGCCUUGUGGGUGCUCUCCCCGCCUUCUGCCUUUGGGUGCUCUAGCCAUGAGCUUAGAGCGAAGUUCCGUUGAGCCACGCCAAGUAUCCAAGUAGGUAGUGCUAUCCACACUUGGAUUGGGAGCAUCGACUAUUCGAUCUCCCGAGGGAACUAGAGCUGGCUCUUGAACACUUCACCAAGCUACCCCACUUGUCGGUUUGUAUUCACUCUAAUCUUGGACUUCUCAAUGGUCAGCUCAAACUCCAUCUCGGGUCCAUCUUGGGUCCAUCUCGGGCUCCAUCUUGGAUCCUUUUGUGUCCCUUUUCUAGAGACUCAUUUAUCGCUCACUUUGUCUUUGUUCCUCGAGCACUUCGUUGGGAGUUCCCCUCCCGCUCUUGACCUUUCAAGUCAGAGCUUUUGGCCCAAAUGUAUUAUGCUCGUUUGGCUUUCAUUUCGGCCACUACCACGUGGCACCCUUCUGGCUCCACUUUGGGGCCUAGGGAUUUUGUGUCUCACACCUUUAUGUUAUAUGAUUCAAAUUCCACACUCACUAUAAAUCAUCAAAGGCACAACAAAACAUCUUUAACUUGGAGCUGGUUGACCAUAAAAAAGAUAUAAGCAAAUCAAGUCUUCACAAGCUUCAUGAGUUCUCUAGAGCAAAACUUCUAAUAUAAAGCAAAUAUUUAUGAAUCCCACAAUCUUUUCAUAGUCAUUUAUGAACUUAAACACCCAAUCAAACCUUUUAAUAUCCUCCAAUAUCAAAUUCAAAACAUGACAUAUGCAUCAAUUGUGUAAGAUAAAGGAGAAUUCUUCUCUCAUAUGUUCCCCCAUCAAUACAUAAUUCAAAGGAUUAUCAAUAACUACUUGAACCACAUUUUCAACACUAACAUCCUAAAUUAUUAGUCUACACUGCUCAUAAAGCUAAAGACCAAUCUUCUCUUCUCUUUAGUGUUAACAUCCUACCAAAAUACCUAGCCAUAGAUAGAAGUAAUCAUGAAGUUUAUGAUUGAUCUACUCUUUAUAUUAAACCAUCCAUCAGUCACUGUUAUACAUCUAAAUUGAGUCCAUCCAUCAAGAAAGGGAGUUAACUUCUCAUUGACUAGAGUAUAAUAAUGAGUGAGUUGAUUAGUAAAAUGUUUGUAACUAAGAAUCCUCGAUGCAGCAUUAAGUUUGGCACUACAAAUGGUUGUGAUCGUUGCAUGAAAAUAUGAGCUUUUAACAACAUUGAAUAGUAUAGUAUUCAAGAAGAUGAACUUUGAUAUUGCAUUAUCUAAAUUCAUGUUUUUUGCUUCAUCAAACAUUUCUCUAAUGUUGUCAUUUUGCAUUCAACUAACAAAUGAUCUUUCAUGGCUUAUGUAAGCACUCAUAGGCUGAAAUUGACUACCACUCUAUGUACUAGCUCCAGAAGUAGAUGCCUUAUCAAAAUGCUGAUUUUGUGGAUUUGCUGUAGAAGGUAAAGCCAAAGAAGCAUUUGCAAAUUGCUCUAUAAACAUUUAACGAAAUUAUUCUUGAACAUGAAAAGGAAUGUUUGAAACAUUACAUGUUUCAAUGUCAUGCCCAAAAACUUUAAUAAGAUGCACCUUAAUUCGUUUUAGUGGACCAUUAUAUAUUUUUUCACAAUAAUUACACUUCUAAACGCCUAUCUCCUUUGCUAGAAGCAUAAACAAAGAGCUUAAUAAUAUAGGAUCAUGCUCAAUCAAACACCAUUGAUUCAACUGUGCUAAAAUCAAUAAUUAAAUAUUACAAUCCAAUCACUAAAAUCAUUUGAAGGUGCAAAUUAGGGUUUUUUGGGAAAAAAAUAAGUUGCUAACCUAAAAUGAAUAAAUGAAAACGAGAAAAAAAAAGAACUACACUCCUGGGGUGUCAUUCAAUAAAAUGCUGUAAAACGUUCAAUCCCUACACGAAAGACAGUUUGUUUCCUCUGGAAGGGACAGCAUACGCACCUUUGCUGGAAUGACGUUAACCUCCUUUGACAUUUCUGCAAGCGAGCGUGGUCUCUCGCCCCAUCUUCUCCACACCAUCCAAAUGCUGGAAUACUUGAGGUGCUCGUUGCCGAGCUGCCUUUUUGCUUGUUGAUCUUCCUUAGCCCGCUACUUCGCCUCUAGUUUUCGUUCCCUGUAAAGAAUCGUCAGGAAGAAACGAGAAAGAAAGAAGAAAACGCAUAGGCAGAACUAACAGGAAGAACAAGAAGGAAAGGUUUAGAAGCUGACCUUACGUCUCUUAGCUCUCUGCCACUUGACGACAUGUUGAACGAUAUCUUUGCGCAUUGGAACGUCGAAAAUGUCUUCAGCGAUCGGCAGAGUCCGUUUGUCCUCUUGCUCCCAAUUCGUGGCCGGCAGCACCAUAUCUCUCAUCUCUCCUGGAAAGAAAGAAGAAAUCACAGCACAAGGAUCCAUGGCAAUGUGUCUGCCUCGCCUGAAUUCAUUUGCAGCAAUGCUGGCCGACGGGGAGGUGGAGGAGCGCAACACCGUCUGGAGAAUGCCUAAUCAAGAUGACACUGAUCCAACGGAUAUUUCAUUCAAAGAAUCUAUCUUACAAUGUCAUAGACUUUAUAAUAAUAAUAAAAACUCUCUUUUCUUGUGAAUCACAACAAGAAGAUGUCCUCGUAUACCUCCUCCCAAAAGCCAGUUGCUUUGAUCCUCCGUUGCCGGAUCUUGGGAAUUUCUAGGUGCUGCUCCUCCCCAGUGCGCCAGCCUCUUCUCCUCCUCGGGAUCCAGCCCGAGAGCGCCUGACGAGCGAGGGGCGGUAAACAACCGCCUUCCUGUAAUGCACCAUCUCACCGACACUGUACUGCCCCACCGUCUCCCUCUUGCCACGGAUGUAAAACCACUCGCCGCGAUCCAGGUCGUACACCGCGGGUGGCAAAGGCUCGCCACCGCAAUCACCAAGCUUGUGGCCGUCAUCGUAGCGAUCGGGACACUGUCCAGCAAGGCACAGGAGAUUGCCUUCGGCCUGGCACUCUA